RNAcentral lists this microRNA precursor (76 nucleotides) under Myotis myotis. RNAcentral's name for it is "mir-9229 microRNA precursor family". It matches the Rfam family "mir-9229 microRNA precursor family". Lineage: Eukaryota; Metazoa; Chordata; Mammalia; Chiroptera; Vespertilionidae. The record is from Rfam by way of RNAcentral. RNAcentral also lists the same sequence under 1 other name.
GAGACACCCUUAUGGGGCAGGACUUGCUUCAGUGGGGCUUUGGUGCUCACUGAGUCUGCCCCCUAAGUGUGUCUCU